AAAGACCCAUUAACAAAUUGGUUUGCUCCUCAACGAGGUGAAGCACUAUGUUUAGUUAGGCUGCAGCUUCGUUUGAGAUUGCGGGGAGAUUGCGUUACAUGCGGUGAAAAAUGACGAUGGAAAAAUACCCUGUUUGUUUUCGUACGUAUUAUUGUGUUCCGCAUAUCGCGAUGAGUUGAUUACAAUAUAUUUUCGACAGUUCCACCGGAGAACGCAGAAAUAUAUCCCUAUAUAUUUUUUCUACAACUCCAUUUUAUCUAAUAGUGUUAAAUAGAACUCAAUAAAUCACUAUGUUUAAUUUUCCAAAAAUUAUU
This 314-nucleotide long non-coding RNA is filed under the name Ananas comosus (pineapple). Its description in RNAcentral is "long non-coding RNA (ACOM_LNC022752)". The record is from RNAcentral. Lineage: Eukaryota; Viridiplantae; Streptophyta; Magnoliopsida; Poales; Bromeliaceae.